CUGCCGGGCUUUCAGCGCGGCCGCUUCGGGUGCGCGCGGCGGCGGGCGAGCGGGGAGCUGAGGUGCGGCCGGGAGCAGCCCGGGGUUCGGCGUGCGCCGCUGCGGGUAGAGUGGCCAGGCCCUUAUAAAUGAGCGGGACUCUCUGGUCCUCGCUGGAGCGGUUGUUCUGCGGUGGGUGGUGCUUUUCCCUUUGUUUGCAGCUCUGCCUGGGAGGUGCGGAUGGGAUUUCUCUGAAGACUCACUUUACAGCUUUGAACAGUUAAGGGAUGGUGACCACCACCUACCACCCUUGGCAGCCUGUACUGCUGCCUGAGCUCUGUGAGAAGGAGCUGACAGUAAUACCCAACAUGAACCUUCCCUGGCACGACUGAAGGCCAUUACCUCUCAUCCUAUUGCCAUUACCUGGGAGAAGAGGCCAACCCCCACCUCCCUAAAACUUCCUUUCGGGAAAUACUAGAGAGUGAUGAGGUCUCCCCUAAGCUUUCUUUUCUCCAGACUGUACAAUCCAAGUUCCCUCAUCCGUUACCGAUAAGAUUUGUGCUCCAGCCCCUCACAGCUUUGUUGCUGCCCUUCUCUGGACAUGCUCCAGGGCCUCCGUGUCUGAACACAGCACUCAAGGUGCUCAAUACAGAGACAAUCACCUCCUGCUCCUGCUGACUACCAUUACUGGCCCUCUUGGCUACCUGCUCCCUCUUGUUCAGGCAGCUGUUGAUUAAAACCCCAGAUGUCUCUGAACUAACUAUUUGCUAUUUUUGCUCAGUUAUAGUUCUGUUUAUAACUUCCAGAUGUACUGUUUACCUGUGACAUAAUAAGAGCAACAUCCUUGAAUGUUUGCCAUUUUGCCUAAUUAAGGUGCUCGCUCAAAGUUAUAGUUCUGUUUAUAACUUCCAGAUGUACAGCUUAUCUAUGAUAAAUAUCCUUCCUGACCACAAGACUUCCAUAAUAAAUCCUUGAAUAAAUACUGUAAAAUUGUCA
Molecule: non-coding RNA, 975 nt
Organism: Meleagris gallopavo (turkey)
Lineage: Eukaryota; Metazoa; Chordata; Aves; Galliformes; Phasianidae
Source: RefSeq, a predicted model, not a curated record